CCUACGGGAGGCAGCAGUGAGGAAUAUUGGUCAAUGGGCGCGAGCCUGAACCAGCCAAGUCGCGUGAGGGAAGACGGUCCUAUGGAUUGUAAACCUCUUUUGUCGGGGAGCAAAAGACGCCACGCGUGGCGUUCCGAGAGUACCCGAAGAAAAAGCAUCGGCUAACUCCUUGCCAGCAGCCGCGGUAAUACGGAGGAUGCGAGCGUUAUCCGGAUUUAUUGGGGUAAAAGGGUGCGCAGGGGGAAGAUCAAGUCAGCGGGAAAAUUGAGAGGCUCAACCUCUUCGAGCCGUUGAAACUGGUUUUCUUGAGUGAGCGAGAGGUAUGCGGAAUGCGUGGUGUAGCGGUGAAAUGCAUAGAUAUCACGCAGAACUCCGAUUGCGAAGGCAGCAUACCGGCGCUCAACUGACGCUCAUGCACGAAAGUGUGGGUAUCGAACAGGAUUAGAUACCCUUGUAGUC
Molecule: ribosomal RNA, 459 nt
Filed under: uncultured bacterium
Lineage: Bacteria
Description: partial 16S ribosomal RNA
Rfam family: Bacterial small subunit ribosomal RNA
Source: RNAcentral